Ornithorhynchus anatinus (platypus) is the source of this 94-nucleotide non-coding RNA. Lineage: Eukaryota; Metazoa; Chordata; Mammalia; Monotremata; Ornithorhynchidae. The record is from RefSeq and is marked provisional.
GGCAGGGUGUACUGACAGGAAGCGCUGGGCUGAGAGAAGCCGGAACUGUGGUGCUUCACUCCAGCCUCACUCAGCCCCCAGUCAGUGCAUUGCU